GACGAACGCUGGCGGCGUGCUUAACACAUGCAAGUCGAACGGAAAGGCCCUGCUUUUGUGGGGUGCUCGAGUGGCGAACGGGUGAGUAACACGUGAGUAACCUGCCCUUGACUUUGGGAUAACUUCAGGAAACUGGGGCUAAUACCGGAUAGGAGCUCCUGCUGCAUGGUGGGGGUUGGAAAGUUUCGGCGGUUGGGGAUGGACUCGCGGCUUAUCAGCUUGUUGGUGGGGUAGUGGCUUACCAAGGCUUUGACGGGUAGCCGGCCUGAGAGGGUGACCGGCCACAUUGGGACUGAGAUACGGCCCAGACUCCUACGGGAGGCAGCAGUGGGGAAUAUUGCACAAUGGGCGGAAGCCUGAUGCAGCAACGCCGCGUGCGGGAUGACGGCCUUCGGGUUGUAAACCGCUUUCGCCUGUGACGAAGCGUGAGUGACGGUAAUGGGUAAAGAAGCACCGGCUAACUACGUGCCAGCAGCCGCGGUGAUACGUAGGGUGCGAGCGUUGUCCGGAUUUAUUGGGCGUAAAGGGCUCGUAGGUGGUUGAUCGCGUCGGAAGUGUAAUCUUGGGGCUUAACCCUGAGCGUGCUUUCGAUACGGGUUGACUUGAGGAAGGUAGGGGAGAAUGGAAUUCCUGGUGGAGCGGUGGAAUGCGCAGAUAUCAGGAGGAACACCAGUGGCGAAGGCGGUUCUCUGGGCCUUUCCUGACGCUGAGGAGCGAAAGCGUGGGGAGCGAACAGGCUUAGAUACCCUGGUAGUCCAUGCUGUAAACGGUGGGUACUAGGUGUGGGGUCCAUUCCACGGGUUCCGUGCCGUAGCUAACGCUUUAAGUACCCCGCCUGGGGAGUACGGCCGCAAGGCUAAAACUCAAAGGAAUUGACGGGGCCCCGCACAAGCGGCGGAGCAUGCGGAUUAAUUCGAUGCAACGCGUAGAACCUUACCUGGGUUUGACAUGGAUCGGGAGUGCUCAGAGAUGGGUGUGCCUCUUUUGGGGUCGGUUCACAGGUGGUGCAUGGCUGUCGUCAGCUCGUGUCGUGAGAUGUUGGGUUAAGUCCCGCAACGAGCGCAACCCUUGUUCACUGUUGCCAGCACGUUAUGGUGGGGACUCAGUGGAGACCGCCGGGGUCAACUCGGAGGAAGGUGGGGAUGACGUCAAGUCAUCAUGCCCCUUAUGUCCAGGGCUUCACGCAUGCUACAAUGGCUGGUACAGAGAGUGGCGAGCCUGUGAGGGUGAGCGAAUCUCGGAAAGCCGGUCUCAGUUCGGAUUGGGGUCUGCAACUCGACCUCAUGAAGUCGGAGUCGCUAGUAAUCGCAGAUCAGCAACGCUGCGGUGAAUACGUUCCCGGG
Molecule: ribosomal RNA, 1343 nt
Filed under: uncultured bacterium
Lineage: Bacteria
Description: 16S ribosomal RNA
Rfam family: Bacterial small subunit ribosomal RNA
Source: RNAcentral